This 561-nucleotide ribosomal RNA is filed under the name uncultured bacterium. Its description in RNAcentral is "partial 16S ribosomal RNA". It matches the Rfam family "Bacterial small subunit ribosomal RNA", at positions 356 to 1376 of the family's 1533-position model. The record is from RNAcentral.
UGGGAAUCUUGCGCAAUGGGCGAAAGCCUGACGCAGCCAUGCCGCGUGGAUGAUGAAGGUCUUAAGAUUGUAAAAUCCUUUCACCGGUGAAGAUAAUGACUGUAGCCGGAGAAGAAGCCCCGGCUAACUUCGUGCCAGCAGCCGCGGUAAUACGAAGGGGGCUAGCGUUGCUCGGAAUUACUGGGCGUAAAGGGAGCGUAGGCGGACAUUUAAGUCAGGGGUGAAAUCCCGAGGCUCAACCUCGGAACUGCCUUUGAUACUGGGUGUCUUGAGUGUGAGAGAGGUAUGUGGAACUCCGAGUGUAGAGGUGAAAUUCGUAGAUAUUCGGAAGAACACCAGUGGCGAAGGCGACAUACUGGCUCAUUACUGACGCUGAGGCUCGAAAGCGUGGGGAGCAAACAGGAUUAGAUACCCUGGUAGUCCACGCCGUAAACGAUGAUUGCUAGUUGUCGGGAAAGCUUGCUUUUCGGUGACGCAGCUAACGCAUUAAGCAAUCCGCCUGGGGAGUACGGUCGCAAGAUUAAAACUUAAAGGAAUUGACGGGGUCAUAGCUGUUUCCUG